GUGCGGCUGACUUUUGGAAUAUAAUUAAAUUUAUGGAAUUUCAAAUUUUUUUUAAAGUCAAAUUGUUCAACAAAUUAAAUCAUGAUGUUAUUUAAAAAUAUUAAAUGAAGAAAAGUUUUCCAUUAACAAAAAAAUUAGACUUAAACUAUUCUUAAACAAUUUAAUAAAGGUAUGGACUUAAAAUUUGAGUCCAGAGGGUUGGGAGAAAAAACAAUUUGAAUCCGGG
Molecule: long non-coding RNA, 226 nt
Filed under: Prunus persica (peach)
Lineage: Eukaryota; Viridiplantae; Streptophyta; Magnoliopsida; Rosales; Rosaceae
Description: long non-coding RNA (PPER_LNC003168)
Source: RNAcentral